AAUAAAUCAACUUUUAGUUUUUAGAUACAAUGUUUGACUCUUCGUCUUAUUAAAAAAAUUUACGAUUAAUAAUUUUAUUUUUAUUAGAUGAUAAAACAUAAAUAGUACUUUAUGUGUGACUAAUAUUUUUAAAAUUUUUUGAAAUAAGACGGAUGGUCCAACGCUCGACAUAAAAACC
Molecule: microRNA precursor, 178 nt
Filed under: Oryza brachyantha (malo sina)
Lineage: Eukaryota; Viridiplantae; Streptophyta; Magnoliopsida; Poales; Poaceae
Description: MIR812 microRNA precursor family
Rfam family: MIR812 microRNA precursor family
Source: Rfam by way of RNAcentral